GACGAACGCUGGCGGCGUGCUUAACACAUGCAAGUCGAACGGAAAGGCCCUGCUUUUGUGGGGUGCUCGAGUGGCGAACGGGUGAGUAACACGUGAGUAACCUGCCCUUGACUUUGGGAUAACUUCAGGAAACUGGGGCUAAUACCGGAUAGGAGCUCCUGCUGCAUGGUGGGGGUUGGAAAGUUUCGGCGGUUGGGGAUGGACUCGCGGCUUAUCAGCUUGUUGGUGGGGUAGUGGCUUACCAAGGCUUUGACGGGUAGCCGGCCUGAGAGGGUGACCGGCCACAUUGGGACUGAGAUAGGGCCCACACUCCUACGGGAGGGAGCAGUGAGGAAUAUUGCUCAAUGGGCGGAAGCCUGAUGCAGCAAGGCCGCGUGCGUGAUGACUGCCUUCGGGUGGGAAACCGCUUUCGCCUGUGACGAAGCGUGAGUGACGGUAAUGGGUAAAGAAGCACCGGCUAACUACGUG
This 468-nucleotide ribosomal RNA is filed under the name uncultured bacterium. RNAcentral describes it as "partial 16S ribosomal RNA". It matches the Rfam family "Bacterial small subunit ribosomal RNA", at positions 28 to 507 of the family's 1533-position model. The record is from RNAcentral.